GAUUGUGUGCUUGCAUCAUGAUUUACAUUUGAGUGAGUGGCGAACUGGUGAGUAACACGUGGGAAACCUGCCCAGAAGCGGGGGAUAACACCUGGAAACAGAUGCUAAUACCGCAUAACAACUUGGACCGCAUGGUCCGAGCUUGAAAGAUGGCUUCGGCUAUCACUUUUGGAUGGUCCCGCGGCGUAUUAGCUAGAUGGUGGGGUAACGGCUCACCAUGGCAAUGAUACGUAGCCGACCUGAGAGGGUAAUCGGCCACAUUGGGACUGAGACACGGCCCAAACUCCUACGGGAGGCAGCAGUAGGGAAUCUUCCACAAUGGACGAAAGUCUGAUGGAGCAACGCCGCGUGAGUGAAGAAGGGUUUCGGCUCGUAAAACUCUGUUGUUAAAGAAGAACAUAUCUGAGAGUAACUGUUCAGGUAUUGACGGUAUUUAACCAGAAAGCCACGGCUAACUACGUGCCAGCAGCCGCGGUAAUACGUAGGUGGCAAGCGUUGUCCGGAUUUAUUGGGCGUAAAGCGAGCGCAGGCGGUUUUUUAAGUCUGAUGUGAAAGCCUUCGGCUCAACCGAAGAAGUGCAUCGGAAACUGGGAAACUUGAGUGCAGAAGAGGACAGUGGAACUCCAUGUGUAGCGGUGAAAUGCGUAGAUAUAUGGAAGAACACCAGUGGCGAAGGCGGCUGUCUGGUCUGUAACUGACGCUGAGGCUCGAAAGUAUGGGUAGCAAACAGGAUUAGAUACCCUGGUAGUCCAUACCGUAAACGAUGAAUGCUAAGUGUUGGAGGGUUUCCGCCCUUCAGUGCUGCAGCUAACGCAUUAAGCAUUCCGCCUGGGGAGUACGGCCGCAAGCUGAAACUCAAAGGAAUUGACGGGGGCCCGCACAAGCGGUGGAGCAUGUGG
RNAcentral lists this ribosomal RNA (899 nucleotides) under Lactiplantibacillus plantarum. Its description in RNAcentral is "bacterial SSU rRNA". It matches the Rfam family "Bacterial small subunit ribosomal RNA", at positions 71 to 944 of the family's 1533-position model. The record is from RNAcentral. Lineage: Bacteria; Bacillati; Bacillota; Bacilli; Lactobacillales; Lactobacillaceae.